Molecule: ribosomal RNA, 354 nt
Filed under: bacterium LimA-10-A-368
Lineage: Bacteria
Description: bacterial SSU rRNA
Rfam family: Bacterial small subunit ribosomal RNA
Source: RNAcentral
GUCCUGAGAGGGAGAUCCCCCACACUGGUACUGAGACACGGACCAGACUCCUACGGGAGGCAGCAGUGAGGAAUAUUGGACAAUGGGUGAAAGCCUGAUCCAGCCAUCCCGCGUGAAGGAUGACGGUCCUAUGGAUUGUAAACUUCUUUUGUACAGGGAUAAACCUACUCUCGUGAGGGUAGCUGAAGGUACUGUACGAAUAAGCACCGGCUAACUCCGUGCCAGCAGCCGCGGUAAUACGGAGGGUGCAAGCGUUAUCCGGAUUUAUUGGGUUUAAAGGGUCCGUAGGCGGGCCUGUAAGUCAGUGGUGAAAUCUCAUAGCUUAACUAUGAAACUGCCAUUGAUACUGCAGGU